Molecule: ribosomal RNA, 253 nt
Filed under: uncultured bacterium
Lineage: Bacteria
Description: partial 16S ribosomal RNA
Rfam family: Bacterial small subunit ribosomal RNA
Source: RNAcentral
GACAGAGGUGCCGAGCGUUAGGCGGAAUCACUGGGCUUAAAGCGUGUGUAGGCGGGCCGUUAAGUAUCUUGUGAAAUCCCCCGGCUCAACCGGGGAAUGGCUGGAUAUACUGGCGGUCUUGAGCGAUCCAGGGGCAGAUGGAACAGACGGUGGAGCGGUGAAAUGCGUAGAUAUCGUCUGGAACGCCAAAGGUGAAGACAGUCUGCUGGGGAUCUGCUGACGCUGAGACACGAAAGCCAGGGGAGCGAACGGG